This 537-nucleotide ribosomal RNA is filed under the name uncultured bacterium. RNAcentral describes it as "bacterial SSU rRNA". It matches the Rfam family "Bacterial small subunit ribosomal RNA", at positions 777 to 1313 of the family's 1533-position model. The record is from RNAcentral.
AAUAGAUACCCCGGUAGUCCACGCCGUAAACGAUGAGUGCUAAGUGUUAGAGGGUUUCCGCCCUUUAGUGCUGAAGUUAACGCAUUAAGCACUCCGCCUGGGGAGUACGGCCGCAAGGCUGAAACUCAAAGGAAUUGACGGGGGCCCGCACAAGCGGUGGAGCAUGUGGUUUAAUUCGAAGCAACGCGAAGAACCUUACCAGGUCUUGACAUCCUCUGACAACCCUAGAGAUAGGGCUUCUCCUUCGGGAGCAGAGUGACAGGUGGUGCAUGGUUGUCGUCAGCUCGUGUCGUGAGAUGUUGGGUUAAGUCCCGCAACGAGCGCAACCCUUGAUCUUAGUUGCCAUCAUUAAGUUGGGCACUCUAAGGUGACUGCCGGUGACAAACCGGAGGAAGGUGGGGAUGACGUCAAAUCAUCAUGCCCCUUAUGACCUGGGCUACACACGUGCUACAAUGGACGGUACAAAGAGCUGCAAGACCGCGAGGUGGAGCUAAUCUCAUAAAACCGUUCUCAGUUCGAGUGUUAGGCGUGCUAACC